Molecule: long non-coding RNA, 1575 nt
Filed under: Erythranthe guttata (spotted monkey flower)
Lineage: Eukaryota; Viridiplantae; Streptophyta; Magnoliopsida; Lamiales; Phrymaceae
Description: long non-coding RNA (EGUT_LNC000870)
Source: RNAcentral
AUCCAUCCACCAUCCGCCCUCUCUUUCUUCCCUUUUUCUUCUCUCGGCGGAAUCCGAUAUGUACAUCUUCCCCAUCCACCCACUAUUUCUUCCGCUUUUCUUCUCUUGACGGCCGGAAUGAAGGACCACCAUAACAUAAAACGCAAAAGAAGACAGAACCAGAAAAAAUCGAUGAUGACAAGGCUUAAUCCCGACGAUCGGAUCUGAAAUCGACAAGCAGAUCUUUGUGAGGGAUUUUUGUGCAGAACAUUGCUUCGUGAUAUUGGUGUUUCGACCAGGUACGUAUUUGUGGGGAAUUUCAUUCCCCUGUGUGUGUGUACAUAUAUAUAUAUAGACAGACUAAUGUUGAUUCAUGAAAAAAAGAGAACUCCAUAAAAAUAUAAAACUUGAUUCACAUGAAUAACUUUGUGAUAACGGUGAAUGAGUGCAAAAAUUCUUCUGAUUUCAAACAUGUUUUGGUUUUGAAAUUUGAUAAUGUUUGAUUUCAAACAUGUUUGGGUUUUGAGAUUUGAUAAUUUUUAGUAAGGAAUACAAUACGAAUUAAUAAGGUGAAACACUAAAUAUUAUCGAAAAUUCCAUGAUUUCCAAAAAUAUUCUCAAAUUUUGGAUAUUUUUUUCUGAAAAUUUAGAAUUAUAAUUUAUUUAUUGUAUUUUUUAGCUGCAAUUGGCUUGGCUAUUGUUUGGCUGCUAUUUUGCUGAUUUUCUUUGCUGCUGUUUUUUGCUGCUGUUUUUGCUGCUGUUUUGCGGCUGAUUUUGUUGCUGUUUUGCUGUUGUUUUCGUGUUGUUUUGCUCCUGUUUAAGAUGUUGGUUUGCUGCUGUGUUUGUUGCUGUCAUUUUUUCUCUAUAUCCAUAAAUAAAUUUUACACGAUGGUUAACAAAGUAGAAGUGACAACUAGUCGAAUUGUUGAAUGAGCUAUUAUAUAUAUGAGAUUUUCAAUAUACUUUUGAGGCUCCUUCACGUUUUCGGUCACUAUUUGAGUAUUUGUUAUUAUACUUUUUGUUGUAAUUUUUUAGUGGAUUAACUUAUUUCGUAGUGGAUUAUGUUAAUAUUUUAGUGGAUUACGAUAACUUUUGUAUUGGGUUUUGACGAGAUUAUAGUGGAUUUUAAAUUCUUGUUUUUUUAGUGAAUGAAUUAAAUUGACACAUUGUUGUCUUAUUUUUCUUUGGUUUAGAUUCAUGCACAAGCGGGUGAUGGCAGCAAGUGGGACCAUGUUGGGUGAUGAUAAGCUUGUAGUGUUUUUCGAUGAAUUUAUAGUGGUUUUCAAUGAGUAUGUAGUGGUUUUCAAUCGAAUAGUGGUUUUCGAUAAAUUUAUAGUGGUUUUCAAUGAGUAUGUAGUGGAUUUCAAUCCAUAUAUUACGUUAAUUUUGUAGUGGAUUUUGAUAACUUUUGUAGUGGAUUUUCAUAAUUUUGUAAUGGAUUACGUUAAUUCGUAUUGGAUUAUUUAAAUAUUUAUUCAAUUUCGAUACGUUAUUACGUUAAUUUUGUAGUGGUUUUUGAUAAUUUUGUAAUGGAUUACGUUAAUUCGUAGUGGAUUAUGUAAAUAUUUAUUCGAUUUCGGUACGUUAUUACGUUAA